AGGAUGAACGCUAGCGGGAGGCCUAACACAUGCAAGCCGAGCGGUAUUGUUUCUUCGGAAAUGAGAGAGCGGCGUACGGGUGCGGAACACGUGUGUAACCUGCCUUUAUCUGGGGGAUAGCCUUUCGAAAGGAAGAUUAAUACUCCAUAAUAUAUUGAUUGGCAUCAAUUAAUAUUGAAAGCUCCGGCGGAUAGAGAUGGGCACGCGCAAGAUUAGCUAGUUGGUGAGGUAACGGCUCACCAAGGCGAUGAUCUUUAGGGGGCCUGAGAGGGUGAUCCCCCACACUGGUACUGAGACACGGACCAGACUCCUACGGGAGGCAGCAGUGAGGAAUAUUGGUCAAUGGGUGCAAGCCUGAACCAGCCAUCCCGCGUGAAGGACGACUGCCCUAUGGGUUGUAAACUUCUUUUGUAUAGGGAUAAACCUACCCUCGUGAGGGUAGCUGAAGGUACUAUACGAAUAAGCACCGGCUAACUCCGUG
This 481-nucleotide ribosomal RNA is filed under the name uncultured bacterium. RNAcentral's name for it is "bacterial SSU rRNA". It matches the Rfam family "Bacterial small subunit ribosomal RNA", at positions 26 to 507 of the family's 1533-position model. The record is from RNAcentral.